Molecule: transfer RNA, 74 nt
Filed under: Apaloderma vittatum (bar-tailed trogon)
Lineage: Eukaryota; Metazoa; Chordata; Aves; Trogoniformes; Trogonidae
Rfam family: tRNA
About the family: Transfer RNA (tRNA) molecules are approximately 80 nucleotides in length. Their secondary structure includes four short double-helical elements and three loops (D, anti-codon, and T loops). Further hydrogen bonds mediate the characteristic L-shaped molecular structure. tRNAs have two regions of fundamental functional importance: the anti-codon, which is responsible for specific mRNA codon recognition, and the 3' end, to which the tRNAs corresponding amino acid is attached (by aminoacyl-tRNA synthetases). tRNAs cope with the degeneracy of the genetic code in two manners: having more than one tRNA (with a specific anti-codon) for a particular amino acid; and 'wobble' base-pairing, i.e. permitting non-standard base-pairing at the 3rd anti-codon position.
Source: Rfam by way of RNAcentral
GGCUGGUUAGCUUAGUCGGUUUGAGCGUGGUGCUGAUAACACGAAGGUCAUGGGCUCGAUCCCCGUUUGGUCCG